CCUACGGGGUGCAGCAGUGGGGGAUAUUGCACAAUGGGGGAAACCCUGAUGCAGCGACGCCGCGUGGGUGAAGAAGCGCCUCGGCGCGUAAAGCCCUGUCAGCAGGGAAGAAAAUGACGGUACCUGAAGAAGAAGCCCCGGCUAACUACGUGCCAGCAGCCGCGGUAAUACGUAGGGGGCAAGCGUUAUCCGGAUUUACUGGGUGUAAAGGGGGCGCAGACGGCGAUGCAAGCCAGGAGUGAAAGCCCGGGGCCCAACCCCGGGACGGCUCUUGGAACUGCGUGGCUAGAGUGCAGGAGGGGCAGGCGGAAUGCCUGGUGUAGCGGUGAAAUGCGUAGAUAUCAGGAGGAACACCGGUGGCGAAGGCGGCCUGCUGGACUGCAACUGACGUUGAGGCCCGAAAGCGUGGGGAGCAAACAGGAUUAGAUACCCUUGUAGUC
This 440-nucleotide ribosomal RNA is filed under the name uncultured bacterium. RNAcentral describes it as "partial 16S ribosomal RNA". It matches the Rfam family "Bacterial small subunit ribosomal RNA", at positions 338 to 795 of the family's 1533-position model. The record is from RNAcentral.